AGUGACACCCGAAGCCGUAGCGAAAGCGAGUCUGAAUAAGGCUUAUAGUCGUUGGGAUUAGACCCGAAACCGGGUGAGCUACCCAUGGCCAGGGUGAAGCGAGUCUAAACGCUCGUGGAGGCCCGAACCUACUAAUGUUGCAAAAUUAGGGGAUGAGCUGUGGGUAGAGGUGAUAUGCCAAACGAACUUGGAGAUAGCUUGUUCUCCCCGAAAUAGCUUUAGGGCUAGCGUCAUAUGUUUAGUAAUGGAGGUAGAGCACUGAAUGGGCUAGGGGGCUUAAAGCUUACCAAACCCAAUCAAACUCCGAAUGCCAUUACUCCAUAGUAUGACAGUCGGACUCCGGGAGAUGAGUUUCGGGGUCGAAAGGGAAACAGCCCAGAUCAUCGGCUAAGGUCCCCAAAUUUAAGCUAAGUGGGAAACGAUGUGGGGUUACUGUAACAACCAGGAGGUUGGCUCAGAAGCAGCCACCCUUUAAAGAGUGCGUAACAGCUCACUGGUCAAGUGAUCCUGCGCGGAAAACUUAACGGGGCUAAGCUUGAUACCGAAGCCAUGGGUCUCAACGCAAGUUGGGGCAGUAGGGGAGCGUUCUGUCAGCGGUGAAGGUCGAUCGUAAGGGCGACUGGAGCGGACAGAAGUGAGAAUGCAGGCAUGAGUAGCGUACAAACACGUGAGAACCGUGUUCGCCGUAAAUCUAAGGUUUCCGACGCCAGGUCAUUCCGCGUCGGGUUAGUCGGGUCCUUAGCCGAGGCCGAGAGGCGUAGGUGAUGGACAUCCGGUCAACAUUCCGGAACCGCUUGAGAGGCUUGUAGGAAAAUCCGCAGGCUGAGCUGAGGCGAGAGCGAGUCCUAGAGGCAUAAGUGGUUGAGCCGUGUUGCCGAGAAAAGCCUCUAAGCAUUGAUUUCCAGACGCCCGUACCGCAAACCGACACCGGUAGAUGGGUAGAGUAUACCAAGGCGAACGGGAGAACCCUCGUUAAGGAAUUAGGCAACAUGACCCCGUAACUUCGGGAGAAGGGGUACCCCCUGAGGUGUCAAAGCCUCGGAGGGUCGCAGUGAAAUGGCUCUGGUGACUGGUUAACAAAACCAUAGGUCUCUGCUAAGCCGUAAGGCGAUGUAUAGGGGCUGACGCGUGCCCAGUGCCGGAAGGUUAAAGGGAGAGGUUAGCGCAAGCGAAGCUUUGAACUGAAGCCCCGGUGAACGGCGGCCGUAACUAUAACGGUCCUAAGGUAGCGAAAUUCCUUGUCGGGUAAGUUCCGACCCGCAC
Molecule: ribosomal RNA, 1263 nt
Filed under: alkali sediment metagenome
Description: bacterial LSU rRNA
Rfam family: Bacterial large subunit ribosomal RNA
Source: RNAcentral